Molecule: long non-coding RNA, 333 nt
Organism: Selaginella moellendorffii
Lineage: Eukaryota; Viridiplantae; Streptophyta; Lycopodiopsida; Selaginellales; Selaginellaceae
Exons: 2
Source: RefSeq, a predicted model, not a curated record
CUGUUUUAGGGCAGAAUCUUGGUGAGUCAAAAUCAAGGGGAAUCUGUGUGGAAGAUGAGGAGGAAUAUGUUUUUCAAGUUCAACGACGGUGGGGCAAUUUACUGGGAAGUGCUUUCAGCAUCAUUUAGCUUUCAACUAUACCAUAAGCGUAAGAAACACAGCAGCUUUAGGUACCUCAAAAGUUUGGAUGAUAAGUGUUGCACAAAGUGAUGGGAUCGUCCAUUCCAUCCCCUAGUCAUGAUCAUUCAAGGCAGUUGAGCAUUGCUUUGCAUCAGUUUUCAGAAGAGCUAAACAUGUAAUGUGUUCACCUCAUGAAAAGCAUGAACUUAUUCA